Molecule: ribosomal RNA, 253 nt
Filed under: uncultured bacterium
Lineage: Bacteria
Description: partial 16S ribosomal RNA
Rfam family: Bacterial small subunit ribosomal RNA
Source: RNAcentral
UACGGGGGGGGCAAGCGUUGUUCGGAAUUACUGGGCGUAAAGGGCGCGUAGGCGGCCUUCUAAGUCGGACGUGAAAUCCCUCGGCUUAACCGAGGAACUGCGUCCGAUACUGAAAGGCUUGAAUCCGGGAGAGGGAUGUGGAAUUCCAGGUGUAGCGGUGAAAUGCGUAGAUAUCGGGAGGAACACCGGUGGCGAAGGCGGCGACCUGGGUUGACACUGACGCUGAGGCGCGAAAGCGUGGGGAGCAAACAGG